AGGGACAGGUAACACACCUCCCACAGGUAGGAAGAAGCUAGGGACAGGUAAGACACACCUCCCACAGGUAGGAAGAAGCUAGGGACAGGUAAGACACACCUCCAUAGGCAAGACACCUCCACAGGUAGGAAGAAGCUAGGGACAGGUAAGACGCACCUCCACAGCUAGGAAGAGACUAGGGACAGGUAAGACACACCUCCACAGUUAGGAGGAGGCUAGGGACAGGUAAGACACACCUCCACAGGUAGGAGUAGGCUAGGGACAGGUAAGACACACCUCCACAGCUAGGAAGAGGCUAGGGACAGGUAAGACACUUCAGCACAGGUAGGAGGAGGCUAGGGACAGGUAAGACACAUCAGCACAGGUAGGAGGAGGCUAGGGACAGGUAAGACACAUCUUCACAGGUAGCAGGAAGCUAGGGAAAGGUAAGACACACCUCCACAGGUAGGAGAAGACUAGGGAAAGGUAAAACACACUUCCACAGGUAGGAGGAGGCUAUGGACAGUUCAGACACACCUCCACAGGUAGGAGAGGACUAGGGAAAGGUAAAACACACUUGUUUCACUUUAUGUUUCACUUCAUGUGACUUCAGGUGACCUGUCUGUGUUGCUCGGGGCUGGUGCUGCUGGAAUGGGUCUCCUCGCGGUCCUAGCGCUAACCUACAGGAGAAUGCAUGUCAAGUGGCCAUGGAAUUUAAAUCCGGAGGACACACCAGAAGUCAUAGUAACAUACUGGAACAAUUGUGUGGCCAACGAGGCAACAACAGAGGAAACCACAGCAGAACAUGGAGGGAAGGUGGAACCAAUCAUUGUAGAACCCUAGAGGAACAGAAAUACAGAACACAGGAUGGACUGGAGAUGUCUAUUUUCAAUUGUCUUUUGUUUUAAACCAGUGUUAUCUUCAUGUCACACGACUUAGGCACUAGCUAUGUCACUCCCUGCUACCAACACACAACCCCUAGCACAAUGUCCUAGUGGACCUUAAAACCUAGUAGUCAAUAGAAUUUUCAAAGCCAAGUGGUUUGAUUUUAUUUCUGUGAAUGAACUUCACACAUAUUCCUUAAACACACAUCUGUGACACACUGCAACACCGAAUAAUAAGAUACACUGUACAUAUAAGCUAUAUUUAGUUAUAAAAUGUCAUUGGAUUGUUUAGAUAAGAAUAAUUAUUAUUAUUAAUAAAGAACAAAAAUGUCAUCUAUAAAAUAUGUAAACUUUUUGUGAAUUACAGGUUUGUUUACAUACAAAUAUAAACAUAUUGUUAUUAUUGUUGUUAUUGUUGUUGUUAUUAUUAUUAUUAUUAAGAUCUGUCUGGCCUACCUUAUAUCCAUCUCUGGCAACUGAUUCUAAUUUUUAUCUAUUAAAUAUAUUCCUAUUGAAUGCUCUCUAAGAAAUGUACCAUUGCUCAUCAGAUCUUAAUUUGUAAAAAAAAAUAAAAAAUAAUUCCUUUUAUCUGUAACCUGUUGUUUCUAUCCCUUAAUUUGUGUUGGACUCCCCUAGAACCCUCAAAUGAAUCUCUGAACCUGCUGUUUAAUUUGUGUUGGACUCCCCUAGAACCCUCAAAUGAAUCUCUGAAGCUGCUGUUUAAUUUGUGUUGGACUCCCCUAGAACCCUCAAAUGAAUCUCUGAACCUGCUGUUUAAUUUGUGUUGGACUCCCCUAGAACCCUCAAAUGAAUCUCUGAACCUGCUGUUUAAUUUGUGUUGGACUCCCCUAGAACCCUCAAAUUAAUCUCUGAACCUGCUGUUUAAUUUGUGUUGGACUCCUCUAGAACCCUCAAAAUCAUCUCUAGACCUGCUAUUUUUUCAUUCUCCCCCUGUAAUCAGGAAUGUAUAUAAACCUGGGCCACCAGGUGGGAGUUAAUGAUCAGGUAGAACAGAAAAUCAUCUGGCUCCGGACCUCGUAGGGUAGGAUUUGAAUAUCCCAUGCCCUUGCACAGGGGUAGGCAACCAACCCCGUUCCUGGAGAGCCGUAGGUACUGUACUACAGCAUGUUGUCCCAACUAGGCACCUCGUCUAACCAACUGAGAUAAUGAAUCAGUCCAGUGAGCCUAAAUUCAAUACACCUGGUGUUCUUCCAGGUCGGUUAAAGGAAAAAACAUGAAGUGCCUGCAGCCCUCUAGGGUUGCCUAGCCCUGCCCUAGCGUCUCUGUGCUCCCCUUUGCUCCUGUAACAACUGUAGUAUUGCCACAGUAGUCUAUGAAAUAACACAUGUAGAAAAGCGUUUAUUCUCCUAACAUUCCUCUCGGGGAGAAGUCUAUCUUGUGUACGAAAUUGUUUGGUCUAUUUUUCUAUUUGUAUGUUUAAUACCUAAACAUGGCAAAUAAAAAUAUAUAUUUAAUCAGAAUACAAAUGAGUAAUUACCACCACCUACUCAUUAUCUUUGUGUGUGUGUGUGUGUGUGUGUGUGUGUAUUUCGUAUCUAUUGAAUUUCACCAGAGAGGUUGGCGGAGGCUAAUUAUACUAUCUACCAAAAUCAGUUGACUUUCAACGUGAUCAAAGCAACAACUCUGGUUUCUAUGGUUACCACCCCGGAUAGACUGACAGGACAAACAUAUAUUGAACUAAAAUAUAAACGCAACAUGCAACCAUUUCAAAGAUCUUAUUGCGUUACAGUUCAUAGAAGAAGAAAAAAUCUGUCAUUUGAAAGAAAUUAAUCUUGGCCUCAUCUGUGGAUUUCACAUGAC
Oncorhynchus mykiss (rainbow trout) is the source of this 2684-nucleotide long non-coding RNA. The record is from Ensembl. Lineage: Eukaryota; Metazoa; Chordata; Actinopteri; Salmoniformes; Salmonidae.